This 61-nucleotide transfer RNA is filed under the name Ruditapes variegatus. Its description in RNAcentral is "tRNA-Glu". RNAcentral also lists the same sequence under 1 other name. The record is from RNAcentral. Lineage: Eukaryota; Metazoa; Mollusca; Bivalvia; Venerida; Veneridae.
UUUCUUGUAGUGUAAAUAACACAUCGAUUUUUCGUGUCGAAGAUGGAAUAUCCUAAGGGUU